Molecule: long non-coding RNA, 697 nt
Organism: Oncorhynchus masou masou (cherry salmon)
Lineage: Eukaryota; Metazoa; Chordata; Actinopteri; Salmoniformes; Salmonidae
Exons: 3
Source: RefSeq, a predicted model, not a curated record
CAGAUGACCUGUCCUCCACAAUCACCCAACUUCAACCCAAUUGAGAUGGUUAGGGAUGAGUUGGACCACAGAGUGAAGGAAAAGCAGCAUCUGCCACACUCUGCCCUGGGGAUCAUCGUAGAGGAGUACUUUGGUGACAUGAAGGACCCCGUGGGGAUCAGAGAUGCCUUCUUGGAGCUUAUGGGAGAUCUACUGAUUGUGGUCCCAGGGGGUGUAGAGUAACCCUAAUGGAGAGAGUGUGUUUGAUUAGCCAACACUCACUACAGAUCCAGGCCAACCUCGGGCUGGGCAGUGUCUCAGAGAAGAAGAGUGCCCAGUUCUGGAGAGAAGACUUCCCUAAAGGACUGCAGACUGCUGGACACAAAGACUCACAGAGUGACCAGUAGAACUGAAUGUUCACUAUGUCAAAUGUUGUUCUAGGAGUGUCCAUGUUGCCCUCCACUCCAGUGUGCUAUUAGGUUACAGUAUAUGAGGCUUUCUUUUCCUUAUUGUGUGUCAUUUUGGCCAUUUUAAUAUUCCAGAUUUUCUUUAAUGUUUUUUUUUGUUUUUUAAAUAUUUUAUUUAGCAAUUGUUUAACAUUUAUGUAGUUUAUUUUUAUCUUGCUGUGUUCAUAUGUCCAUUAAAGCCAUAAAAUAAUUACGUGUGACUGAUUAGACGAUUGUCCUUCUGCUUAGUAAUAAAACAUUGUAAUCAGACA